RNAcentral lists this transfer RNA (64 nucleotides) under Paramblynotus sp. ZJUH 20220012. RNAcentral describes it as "tRNA-Lys". Lineage: Eukaryota; Metazoa; Arthropoda; Insecta; Hymenoptera; Liopteridae. The record is from RNAcentral.
AAUUAAGUAACUUAAAUAAAGUAAUGAUUUUUUAAAUCAUUUAUAGUAUAAUUACUCUUAAUUA